Molecule: non-coding RNA, 56 nt
Filed under: unclassified sequences
Description: eL15-Euryarchaeota ribosomal protein leader
Rfam family: eL15-Euryarchaeota ribosomal protein leader
Source: RNAcentral
CCUGAACGCACACUGCUCAGGUCGGGAUGUGAUCCUCUCGAGGAUUGAACCAGGAA